Non-coding RNA from Coturnix japonica (Japanese quail), 217 nucleotides. The record is from RefSeq and is a predicted model, not a curated record. Lineage: Eukaryota; Metazoa; Chordata; Aves; Galliformes; Phasianidae.
AUAAGCAUAAGUGAAUGAAUCGUGGCUGGCAUGCUGCGAUGAAUGUUUACAGACUCUUUAGAAGAGACAAGAAGGACAGGAGAAUCAGGACCUCAGUCAAGAGCAGCAGAAUGUCAAGAAGCUGGAGCAAGGAGCACUAAAUUCAUCACAUAUGUCUUCACCAGCCAGCAAUUCUCCUUGAAUCUUCUCUGAAUGGAAUAAACAAGGGAGUCUGAAA